This is a long non-coding RNA of Clarias gariepinus (North African catfish), 725 nucleotides long. RefSeq lists it as uncharacterized. NCBI's taxonomy places the organism in Eukaryota, Metazoa, Chordata, Actinopteri, Siluriformes, Clariidae. The transcript has 3 exons. The record is from RefSeq and is a predicted model, not a curated record.
GUUGAGUUUAUUUUUUAAAUUACGUGAGGCUUUGUGUUGUGUCUGUGUGGAACUAGGGUCACCACCAUGUCUGAGUGGCUAAAAUCUGAUGUUUUCAUCAUAUUUGUGGUGGUGCUACUGCUGGCAGUUAUCGUCCUCGUUGCUCUCUGCUUCAUCAUAAGGCGCCAUCGUAUAUACGGGAAAACAGAGGAACCGGCACAAAUUGAGAUUUUUUUCCCUGAUAGAUCCGAUCAACCCAAAUUCGUCAUGAAGAUCGUCACAGAGCAGAAAAAUGCCUCAGAGAUGGUACAGAUUGCAAUGCAACAAAUUUACUCCACCAAUGCCGAUGGCGCUCUUCUGACUGCUGCAGUUGCCUCUGCGUCACAAGAUCAACCUCAGAUAGACCCUUUGCCUUCCCCUCACACUGAAACAGAUGACACUCUGUCCGAUAAAGGGCUGUCCACUUUAUUGGAUGUGCCAGCUACAGAUCCCAGUAAACUCGUUGUGACUGCAGUGGUUCACACAGACCAAGUUCCAACUAAUAAAAAAAAGGCAGUAGUGAAAAAAAAGCAAAGUAGUCCCAUAUUGACUCAUUAUAAAAGAAAAGUAAAAACAAAAAAUAUAGAAGUCAAGUUUACUGAUUUAAAAUGAACACAAACGUGUUCUUAUGUUUCAUUUACAAUGAAAUGGCGCAAACACUUGAUGUAGUCCCCCGUGAUGAAUGAACACCCGGUGAUGAAUCACUA